GGAAAAAAAAAGAGUAUAGUAUUUUUCUAUUAUAAUUUUAUUUUUUACAAAUUAAAAUUAAGUACUUCUAUGAUAUAUACCUUCAAUUCAGGUACUAUAGGUGUAAUUUACCCCAGCCAUUACCAUACUCCCCGCUUUCCCUAGGGUCUACAGUGUCGAACGUUGCGAUUCCGAUGUUGGCGGCGCUGCGAUCUCGCUUUUUCCUUUCCACUUCACCAUCAUCUUCUUUCAUCCAUCGAUCAUGGAAGCUAGGGUUUUCAGGUUCCAGCCACACUUUCUUUUCAUCAAAUGUCGAAUCCAGCAGCAGCAACAAAGGUUUACUGGACAUAAACGAGGUUGAGAACGUUCUCAAAGACGUGAGAGCGGACGACGUGAAAGUGAUACCAGUCGGAAAGCACUGUGAUUGGGCUGAUUAUAUGGUGGUCGCCACCGGUAGGUCGACAUGGCAUGUCAAGAACAUCGCUCAGGCACUUAUUUACAAGGCUAAGGAAAAGCAGAGAGGAGCUCAGCGGAUGAUGCUUCCAAGCUUGGAAGGGCAAGAGGGAGGAAAGUGGAUUGUCAUUGAUUCUGGUUUGUUUGUUCUGCGCUCUAUAAUGCUAGAAAUGUUGGUAUAUUCAAUACAGGAACACUUCUCUUUGACAGGAAUAUUGAUUCCUUCCAUGCAGCUAAUAGGGGAAAUUAGUGAAAUUUGCACAAUAUCAUGUUGUUAUGAAAAUUUUUUUGUUACCCAAGUUGGGUUUAUAUUUUGUGCUGAUUGUUACCUUACAAGGCAGUUCAAAUUGUUCAAGUUCUUCUGAACAAUUUCCAAAUUUUGGUAUUUGAUGAAAGUUUAUGGUAUUUACAAUUAUUGUUACUCUAAUUCAUCCAUUGGGUUUCUUUGUCUUCUUUAGGUAAGGUGAUAAUUCAUGCUCUUGAUGAGAAGGCCAGAGCUUAUUACAAUUUGGAAGAUCUCUGGACCUCUGGCAUGCCGCCAAAAGAACCUGUUCAGGUAAAUGAUAAUUUUAGCAUAACUUCUAAAACUCUUUUACUAAUUUUUGUUUGAUCUACUACUUCAUAUUUUAUACGCACGCAUGAUACACAUUAGCUGGAUUUUUACUUUUUUAACAAAAGAAAGUGAGGAAUUACGAAAUAUAACAUGGAAUUGAUAAUUAAAUUUUUCAUUGGCUUUCUUGGGGUGAAAUAAUGGACUUUCAAGAGUGUGGUAUCAGAUGUUAACAGCUUUUUGAGAUUCGGUUUAUUCCCUUUAUUUUAUUUAUUUGCUAAAUCUUAAGUUCCUGUAUACAAAUGUGUUAUGGUGAAUGAAUGUGCCUCCAAGGGAAAAUUGUGCUUUAAAAUAUUCAUGUCUUUUUCCAUCCUUGCACUGUUGUCCUUUUAUUAUUAUAUAUUAAUUCCAUAAUCCAUGAUUUGAAAAGAAGGCCAAAGAGAGAAUAUAUCUACUUGUUCCAGAUUAGUUGUCCAUCGUAUGGUCCUGCACAAAUCCCUUGCAUGCCAGGAUGAUAAUCCUCAAUCCAAAAGCACCUCUCUGACAUGCACAAACAAGCAUUUAACUUAGUCAGAAAGCCAAGAUCAUUUAGAUAGUUUAGCUUGAAGCUAUUAUGUAAGAGAUGUUAAAAACAUUCUCUGUUUGUUGAAGGAUGUAUGUUUUCUUGAGAAUGAUCUAGCUAUUGUUGUCUAGAUUUAUCUCUAAUAUAAUGUAUCUUUUUUGAAAAUUUCAACCCAUCAAUGGCGUUUUGAUUAGGGUGGGAGCAAAUGAGAGUGUGUUUCUGAUUGUUUCUUGCUAGGGAGUGCAGAAUGUUCUCCGCUGAUGAGUUGCAAAUUAUACGUCUAGAAUGUAGACCAAUAAUAACACAUCAGUUAGAGUUUAUUCAUGUGUAUUGUCAUUGUCUGGGUUUGAGAUGGAAUAUGCCUGAGGUGCUGUUGGUGUGCGGAUGGUGCCUUGGUUUUAUUUAAUUUGAAUCCUCCUUUAAAAUCACUUCCUACCUUGUCUCAAAGAGCUUUUGAACAUUUUAAUUUGAAUUUCUGGUUGCCACAAUUUGCUUCUAACAAAUUAUUAACUAGUGUACCUUGUCCUAUUAUAUUUUUCUUUGGGGACUCUGGUUUGUGGUGUUUCUUCUAACAAUUUGCUUCUUCUGUUUCUUCUUAUGUUCAGGAUUUAGAGAAAGCGUUUGUGAAAAUUCGUCCCAAGAAUAAUUCAAAAAGACGAGCAGAAAGGCAUGCCUAAGCCCAGAUGAAUGAAAAUUUGCUUAUUUAGUUUUUUCACAUCAUGAAGUUCUUUGCUUCAUUCUUUGUGAUCUGUACAUUGUUAUCUCCAGUAUGUUUCAUUUGCAGUUAAUGGUACUUUUAAUAUAUUCUUAUUCUUAUU
RNAcentral lists this unclassified non-coding RNA (2362 nucleotides) under Hevea brasiliensis (rubber tree). The record is from RNAcentral. Lineage: Eukaryota; Viridiplantae; Streptophyta; Magnoliopsida; Malpighiales; Euphorbiaceae.